This 258-nucleotide signal recognition particle RNA is filed under the name bacterium. RNAcentral describes it as "signal recognition particle sRNA large type". It matches the Rfam family "Bacterial large signal recognition particle RNA". Rfam says of the family: The signal recognition particle (SRP) is a universally conserved ribonucleoprotein involved in the co-translational targeting of proteins to membranes. Archaeal SRP consists of a 7S RNA and homologues of the eukaryotic SRP19 and SRP54 proteins. The record is from RNAcentral.
CCGUACUCCCCGGGGACUUAGCGGAUCUCUUGACUCGAACGCUUUUGCGAGGGGCAGAGCCUACUGUGAGGAGUAUAGGAAAUUUGUUGAUGUAUUUUCAGUUGUUGAUAGUUUAGAAUAUGAUGGCGUAAGCUAUCGAACCGUGUCAGGAUGGAAACAUAGCAGCACUAAGGUAAUCCUUGCGGGUGUCAUACUUCUAAAAAGGAGAUUGCAAGAUUCAAAUUCAAGUUUUCUUUAUUUCGAUAGGUAGUGGUACGG